This 496-nucleotide ribosomal RNA is filed under the name uncultured bacterium. RNAcentral describes it as "partial 16S ribosomal RNA". It matches the Rfam family "Bacterial small subunit ribosomal RNA", at positions 29 to 507 of the family's 1533-position model. The record is from RNAcentral.
ACGCACGCUGGCGGCGUGCCUAAUCCCUGCACGUAGAACGCUGAAGAGAGGAGCUUGCUCUUCUUGGAUGAGUUGCGAACGGGUGAGUAACGCGUAGGUAACCUGCCUUGUAGCGGGGGAUAACUAUUGGAAACGAUAGCUAAUACCGCAUAACAAUGGAUGACACAUGUCAUUUAUUUGAAAGGGGCAAUUGCUCCACUACAAGAUGGACCUGCGUCGUAUUAGCUAGUAGGUGAGGUAAUGGCUCACCUAGGCGACGAUACAUAGCCGACCUGAGAGGGUGAUCGGCCACACUGGGACUGAGACACGGCCCAGACUCCUACGGGAGGCAGCAGUAGGGAAUCUUCGGCAAUGGGGGCAACCCUGACCGAGCAACGCCGCGUGAGUGAAGAAGGUUUUCGGAUCGUAAAGCUCUGUUGUAAGUCAAGAACGGGGGUGAGAGUGGAAAGUUCACACUGUGACGGUAGCUUACCAGAAAGGGACGGCUAACUACGUG